GCAUUGGUGGUUCAGUGGUAGAAUUCUCGCCUUCCAUGCAAGAGACCUGGGUUCGAUUCCCCGCCAAGGCA
Molecule: transfer RNA, 71 nt
Organism: Loxodonta africana (African savanna elephant)
Lineage: Eukaryota; Metazoa; Chordata; Mammalia; Proboscidea; Elephantidae
Rfam family: tRNA
About the family: Transfer RNA (tRNA) molecules are approximately 80 nucleotides in length. Their secondary structure includes four short double-helical elements and three loops (D, anti-codon, and T loops). Further hydrogen bonds mediate the characteristic L-shaped molecular structure. tRNAs have two regions of fundamental functional importance: the anti-codon, which is responsible for specific mRNA codon recognition, and the 3' end, to which the tRNAs corresponding amino acid is attached (by aminoacyl-tRNA synthetases). tRNAs cope with the degeneracy of the genetic code in two manners: having more than one tRNA (with a specific anti-codon) for a particular amino acid; and 'wobble' base-pairing, i.e. permitting non-standard base-pairing at the 3rd anti-codon position.
Source: Rfam